RNAcentral lists this long non-coding RNA (3085 nucleotides) under Hordeum vulgare. RNAcentral describes it as "long non-coding RNA (HVUL_LNC007359)". The record is from RNAcentral. Lineage: Eukaryota; Viridiplantae; Streptophyta; Magnoliopsida; Poales; Poaceae.
UUGUGAACAAAGACAUAAAUCGUGUGUGGAACCAUGGUUCUAAAUUUGAGGGAGGAUUUCAUUGUCAGUAUUGCAACCUAAGGAAGAGAGGAGGAGGUGCAACUCGCUUUAAAGAGCAUCUUGGCCAUGUAGUAGGUGAAGUGAGAGAGUGCCCAAAUGUUCCAAGAAAUGUGAAAGAUUUAAUGAAGAAUGCCGUGUAUGAGACAAGGAACAAAAAGAGGAAGAAGGCAACUGAUAAGCUUAGAUUGGAGCGUGAGAUAAUGGAUGGGUUGUAUCAUAGGGAAGGGGUGAUAAACAUUGACGAUGAUGAUGAUGCUGAACUUCAGAUGGCAAUUCGGGAGUCACUUAGCGACAAGAAUGUCUCUCGUGCAGUUGAGAGGAGGCGUGGGAGUGGUAGUGGUGUCCGCGUCUCUGUUGGGAAAAGUAGCAUCACAACCUUCUUCAACAAGGAGUUAUCGAGCAACAAAGUAUCAAUGCAGCCCAAGAUUACCACCUCUUUCGAUCUUGAGUCAAGAGAUGUACUCGGCCAAUCUUGGGCAAAAAAAUUUCACGCAAAUGAUAUUGCUGGUCUGAAAGCUGACUGUCCAUACUUUCGGGCAGCAAUGAAGAUCACUCAAAAGCUUGGUCCAAUUCCUCUCCCAACUGCCAAGGAGAUUGAUGGGAUAUAUCUGGACAAGAACUAUGAUGAAGCUGUGGAGUGGCUGAAGAUUUUCAAACAAGAUUGGAAGAACUUUGGUGUUACCGUGAUGUGUGACUCAUGGACUGGGCCUACUGGCAUGAGUGUUAUCAACUUCAUGGUGUAUUGCAAUGAAAAAAUGUUUUUCCAUAAAUCCAUUGAUGCUUCUGGUCAAACUCAAAAUUCUGGUUAGUUUUCUAUUGAAAUGAAAAUUGUUUAUUUCGUUCUCUUGCAUAGUGUUUUUCACUUGUUAACUAUGGUAAUCUAGUUACUUAUGCUUUCUUUUUCUUGUUAAUUAUGUCUACUUAUGAUUUUCUGUUUUCUACUUGUUAAUUAUGUCUACUUGUGCUUUUCUGUAAUUUUACUUGUUGAUUCUGGUUGCUCAUCCUUUUCUGUUUUUGUACUUGUUAAUUACUGUUGCUUAUGUUUAUACGUUCUUUACUUGUUAAAUAUGGUUACCUAUACUUUUGUGGUAAAAUUUUGCAGAAUUUAUCUAUAGACAGAUUAAAAAGGUUGUUGUUGAUGAGAUAGGACAUGAGAAUGUGGUUCAAAUUAUAACCGACAAUGGUUCAAAUUAUAAAAAAGCUUGUAAAACUCUUGUAGAACAACCAGAGUACAACCAUAUUGUUUGGCAACCAUGUGCUGCCCAUACAAUCAACCUCAUGCUUAAAGAUAUUGCUAAGUUUCCGGAAGUUGAUGUGAUAGUUAAAAGUGCCAAGCAAAUCUGUAGGUUUUUUCAUAAUCACAAUAACCUGCAUGAUAGCAUGAAAAAGAAUGUUGGCGGUGAACUGAUAAAACCCAAUGCCACUCGGUUUGGUACGGUGUUCAUGUUCCUUGAGAGUUAUCAUGAAAAGAAGGAUCAGUUUAGGAAAUGGAUGGUAUCUGAUGAUUGGAAGAAAAGUAUUUGGAGGAAGGAUGCUGAUUAUGUGUUUUCCGAGGCAUUACUAUCUAGUAAUAUGUGGUGGGCUGCCUUGGAGUGGGUUCUUAAUCUGUUAGAGCCACUUUAUAAAGCCCUUAGGUACGCUGAUACUCAAAAGCAAUGCACCUUGUCUGGCUUCAAGAAGAGCAUGAUGACAGCUGUACAAACUUUGGAAUCUCGUCUUGGUGGUGGGUCAGAAAUGCUUCGUAGAGUCAUGAGCAAGGUGUCCAAUAGGAUUGAGGCCAUGGAAAAGGAUACUCUAAUGGUUGCAGGUAGUGAUAAACUACUAAAAUAAAUGUUUACCUUGCUUUUUUCUCAUGGUUUAUAACCUCUGUUAUUUUCUUAUGCAGCUGCUGUCCUUGAUCCAAACACACAUUAUGUGGUCAAUCUGAGCAAUAUUCCGGAAUUCGCUUCUGCACUAACAGUUGCGAUAGAGAAGAUAGCUGACCCUGAUAGUGCUGCUUUGGCCAUUUAUGAAAUCAGCGCUUUUAGGGAACGUCGUGGAAGGUUUGGUCAACGGGUCGCACACAUUUCAGCAGAAAAAAUGUCACCAAGUAAGUUACAAUGCUUGUAGAUCCUUAGUCGCACUUUCCUCCAAUUUGCAACUCGUUAAUCUCAUUGUUUUUUGGUGGUAGCCGAGUGGUGGUUUCAGUUUGGAGGGGACGUUCCCAAUCUGCAGAAGUAUGCCUUGAGAAUUGUUUCCCAAUGUGUGUCGUCAAGUGGAUGUGAAAGGAACUGGAGCGCUUGGGCCUUGGUCCACACGAAACAAAGGAAUCGUCUAUUAUAUGGCAAGCUGCACAAGUUUGUAUCCGUUCGCCACAACUUGAAGGUAUAAAAUUCUCUUGUGUGUUGAGACCAUGAUCCUCCAUUUUCUUAGAAAACAUUGUUGUUUACGUUGCUGUUAUUUACUGAUUUUGUUUUCACACCUUUGAAGAUACGUGCUGAAGAAGACAAGGACCGGGUGAGAGAGAAUGAUAAAUAUAAGGAGGUUGAUCCAUGUGCAAUGAUGAUGAAUACAACCAUGUUUGAUGAGGCUAAUCCAAUGAUGGAGUGGUUGAAUGAGGAUGAGGAACAUGUAAUCUUGGAUGGAUCUGAUGCUGCUAGCGCCGUGUUCGAGGAAAUACGUCGCCUUAACUCAAGCAAGAAAUCCUCUCAUCUUGGAAGGAAGGGCAAUGGAACGAAAAGGAAGAGAGUAUUGGAAGAAGAUGAGGAUGACUACAUUGAUUGUGAUGAUGAUGAAGAAGAAGAUGAGUACAUAGACAUUGAUGAUGAGGAUGAAUGCGGAGAUGAUAGCGCAAGUGAAGCUGAUGGAGAAGAUUCAACUACCCGAGUUGAAAAAGAUCAACCAAGCCAAGAUGGAAACGAGGUUGAGGAAAGAAAUGAUGGAGGUUUGCUGAACUGCCGUAGGUCUCGACGAGGAAAGCAAAGCACGAAGCUGAAGGACUUGACGAGCCUUUACAAUUGACAGGUAAGUUCAUAGGUAAGUUCAU